UUGAACGCUGGCGGCAUGCUUUACACAUGCAAGUCGCACGGUAACAGGCCUUCGGGUGCUGACGAGUGGCGAACGGGUGAGUAAUGCAUCGGAACGUGCCCAGAGGUGGGGGAUAACGCAGCGAAAGCUGUGCUAAUACCGCAUGUGAUCUGAGGAUGAAAGCGGGGGACCAGGCAGCAAUGUUUGGCCUCGCGCCUUUGGAGCGGCCGAUGUCAGAUUAGGUAGUUGGUGGGGUAAAGGCCUACCAAGCCGACGAUCUGUAGCUGGUCUGAGAGGACGACCAGCCACACUGGGACUGAGACACGGCCCAGACUCCUACGGGAGGCAGCAGUGGGGAAUUUUGGACAAUGGGCGCAAGCCUGAUCCAGCAAUGCCGCGUGCGGGAAGAAGGCCUUCGGGUUGUAAACCGCUUUUGUACGGAACGAAAAGGCUCUGGCUAAUACCUGGGGCUGAUGACGGUACCGUAAGAAUAAGCACCGGCUAACUACGUG
RNAcentral lists this ribosomal RNA (491 nucleotides) under uncultured bacterium. RNAcentral describes it as "partial 16S ribosomal RNA". It matches the Rfam family "Bacterial small subunit ribosomal RNA", at positions 30 to 507 of the family's 1533-position model. The record is from RNAcentral.